RNAcentral lists this ribosomal RNA (1002 nucleotides) under Chaetomium sp. 1 MK-2015. RNAcentral describes it as "SSU rRNA". It matches the Rfam family "Eukaryotic small subunit ribosomal RNA", at positions 94 to 1105 of the family's 1831-position model. Lineage: Eukaryota; Fungi; Ascomycota; Sordariomycetes; Sordariales; Chaetomiaceae. The record is from RNAcentral.
UGGCUCAUUAAAUCAGUUAUCGUUUAUUUGAUAGUACCUUACUACAUGGAUAACCGUGGUAAUUCUAGAGCUAAUACAUGCUGAAAAUCCCGACUUCGGAAGGGAUGUAUUUAUUAGAUUAAAAACCAAUGCCCUCCGGGGCUCUCUGGUGAUUCAUAAUAACUUCUCGAAUCGCACGGCCUUGCGCCGGCGAUGGUUCAUUCAAAUUUCUGCCCUAUCAACUUUCGACGGCUGGGUCUUGGCCAGCCGUGGUGACAACGGGUAACGGAGGGUUAGGGCUCGACCCCGGAGAAGGAGCCUGAGAAACGGCUACUACAUCCAAGGAAGGCAGCAGGCGCGCAAAUUACCCAAUCCCGACACGGGGAGGUAGUGACAAUAAAUACUGAUACAGGGCUCUUUCGGGUCUUGUAAUUGGAAUGAGUACAAUUUAAAUCCCUUAACGAGGAACAAUUGGAGGGCAAGUCUGGUGCCAGCAGCCGCGGUAAUUCCAGCUCCAAUAGCGUAUAUUAAAGUUGUUGAGGUUAAAAAGCUCGUAGUUGAACCUUGGGCCUAGCCGGCCGGUCCGCCUCACCGCGUGCACUGGCUCGGCUGGGUCUUUCCUUCUGGAGAACCGCAUGCCCUUUACCUGGGUGUGCCGGGGAACCAGGACUUUUACUCUGAACAAAUUAGAUCGCUUAAAGAAGGCCUAUGCUCGAAUACAUUAGCAUGGAAUAAUAGAAUAGGACGUGUGGUUCUAUUUUGUUGGUUUCUAGGACCGCCGUAAUGAUUAAUAGGGACAGUCGGGGGCAUCAGUAUUCAAUUGUCAGAGGUGAAAUUCUUGGAUUUAUUGAAGACUAACUAUUGCGAAAGCAUUUGCCAAGGAUGUUUUCAUUAAUCAGGAACGAAAGUUAGGGGAUCGAAGACGAUCAGAUACCGUCGUAGUCUUAACCAUAAACUAUGCCGAUUAGGGAUCGGACGGCGUUAUUUUUUGACCCGUUCGGCACCUUACGAUAAAUCAAAAUG